Molecule: ribosomal RNA, 253 nt
Filed under: uncultured bacterium
Lineage: Bacteria
Description: partial 16S ribosomal RNA
Rfam family: Bacterial small subunit ribosomal RNA
Source: RNAcentral
UACGGAGGAUCCAAGCGUUAUCCGGAAUCAUUGGGUUUAAAGGGUCCGUAGGCGGGUUAUUAAGUCAGUGGUGAAAGUUUUCGGCUUAACCGAAAAAUUGCCAUUGAUACUGGUAGUCUUGAAUUAUUGUGAAGUAACUAGAAUAUGUAGUGUAGCGGUGAAAUGCUUAGAUAUUACAUGGAAUACCAAUUGCGAAGGCAGGUUACUAACAAUAUAUUGACGCUGAUGGACGAAAGCGUGGGUAGCGAACAGG